Ictidomys tridecemlineatus (thirteen-lined ground squirrel) is the source of this 1865-nucleotide non-coding RNA. NCBI's taxonomy places the organism in Eukaryota, Metazoa, Chordata, Mammalia, Rodentia, Sciuridae. The record is from RefSeq and is a predicted model, not a curated record.
UGUCUUGCUGUCUAUGCCCAUUCUUGAACUUCAACUAAAUGGAUUCACAAAACAAGUUAUGAUUUUUUAAUACCUUUAUUUUAUUUAUUCGUUUUUAGGUGGUGCUGAGGGUCUGCCUCCUUUGUCUCAUCUUAUGUCUGUGGGAUUCCUUCAAGUUGCUGCAUGUAGAAGUCGAUCGUUCUGUUUUAUUGCUGAGUAGUAUCCCAUUACGUGACCAUAUCCCGACAUGAUCUUUUCUGCUGUGGAUGGACCUCUGCUGUGCUUCCCGUUUGGGACCACUAUGAAAAAGCCUGCUCUGAUCAUUCUCGCCCAUAUUUUGGGGGUAUGUGCACUUGAUUCUCUUGCGGAAUACCUAGCUGGGAGUGGAGUCGCUGGUUUAUAAUUUGUUUCUUAUGGAAACAUUUGAAGGGAUUUGCAGGGGUUUUUUUGUUUUGUUUCUGGCCUGGCCAUGAGAGCUGAGGCCGCUGAAGGAGCAGUGGAAUAUGUGUAGAACGGUGAGAAGGACAAACAGUCCAUUGGGCAGGAACAUCCCUCCCUGGAAGGGGCAGCAGCCAGAGGCUGGCCUGAAGAGCCACAGACUGUGGGAAGGUGGUUCUGCCUAAUCCCUGCUCUGGACAGGGCAUUUCAAGGUUGGUGUGUCAGUAACCUGUUGACCCGUGCCUUGUGCCUGGUGAGUUAGGGGGAGUAUGUCACAUCCCUGGAGCAGCGGAUGGGCUCAGUCGGCUCCGGCCAGGGCCUACCUGGAGGACUUUGAGUUUUGGGGAAUUAGCCCUGAUCAGCAGGAAUUCAGGAGCGAAUCAACAACCCCCUGUCACAGCAGGACCAGCGUGUCUUCUGAGCUCAGCUUGUGGCUCCACCAGGGCCAGCAAAUCAGAUUCCGAAGGCAGAGGGGACAGAAAUCCCCAAGUGAUCAGCUGGACACGGCUCUCUCUUAGUGUCCUGCCAUGCUGGAGGCCACAUGUGAAACCAGAUGUCACCGGAGGCAGACUGCAGCUGAAAAGGCCAUUGGGUUUACCCCAUCGCUCCCGUGGCAUCAAUCAUAGUCCUUUUCCUCAGACAAGAGCAGCAGGAGAAAGUGGAAAGCCCCUGUCACAACGAUCCACACCAGCUGUGCAGAUUCCCUCCCCCCACUGUGUGCUCAUUGCUAAAACAGGGCCCACUGACCUGUGCUUAUGUCCCGCACUUAAAAAAUCACGUAAUAGCUCACUGGAGAGAGUAAAUACACGAAAGACGGCAUUAUACCUGAGAGGUCACUUACGGUCACAAUGAGGGAAUGACCAAUAAAGUGGCCUUGGACAUGAGGGCUGCCCAGCCAGGACGGGUCCCUUCCUUGGGCCUCAUUGCUGCCCCCUUCCCAGGCAGAGAACAGAUGGCAGGGACACAGGGGUGACCCCCGUGGUGGAGAAUAAGCACAGAAACCUUGCCCCGUGCAGGGCACUGAGGCAGUGGGUGAGCCGUGCCCGACUGGGGAAGGAAGAGUUUCUCUGGGGGCUCAACAGUGGCAGAGGUCUCAGUCCACAGAAGGCCAGCACCAUUCCUUGGGGCUGAAGAUGAGAAACCUGAAGAAACCUGAGAAAUCUGGAAGGGCCUGGUCACAGAGUGAGUGACUCCAAGACCUGUUUUCUUCGUUUAGCACCAGAAGAACAAGAAAGCUCAGACGCUGGGCCUACGCAUCACCAGCUGAGGUCUCUCCCCAGCCCACCGGGCAUAGGGAGCCUUACUCCAAAGUCAGUACCUGCCCACAAAUUGCUGUCUGUCUCUGAGAAGUGAGAGAACUGAGAAGUAGACCUUCAGAAAUGUUUUAGCAACUUGACGGAAUAAUUUUUUGCCUGUAAACAUUAAUAAAAAAAAUCUGAGCUAAAAUA